UGAAAGCUCCGGGCUUAACCCGGAGAGGUCGUUCAAUACUGUCGACCUAGAGGACAUCAGAGGACCAUGGAAUCUCCGGUGUAGCGGUAAAAUGCGCAGAUAUCGGAAGGAACACCAGUGGCGAAGUCGGUGCUCUGGGGUGGGCCUGACGCUGAGAGACGACCGCUAGGGGAGCGAACAGGAUUAGAGACCCUGGUAGUCCUAGCCCUAAACGAUGGAUGCUAGGUCUGGGGCCGAGAAGGCUCUGUGCCGCAGUUAACGCGCUAAGCAUCCCGCCUGGGGAUUACGGCCGCAAGGCUAAAACUCAGCCGAAUUGACGGGGCCCCGCACAAGCAGCGGAGCGUGUGGUCUAAUUAGAUGCUACACGAAGAACCUUACCUGGGUUUGACAUGUACGUGUUAGAGAAGCGAAACCGGAUCGACCCUUCGGGGAGCGUACACAGGUGCUGCAUGGCUGUCGUCAGCUCGUGCCGUGAGGUGUCGGGUUAAGUCCCGUAAUCGAGUGCAACACCUUGCCGUUAGUUACAAGUGUUUAAGGGGACUGCCGCCGGUAAGCCGGAGGACGGUGGGGAUGACGUCAAGUCAGCAUGGCCCUUAUAUCCAGGGCUACACACACG
This 616-nucleotide ribosomal RNA is filed under the name uncultured organism. Its description in RNAcentral is "bacterial SSU rRNA". It matches the Rfam family "Bacterial small subunit ribosomal RNA", at positions 595 to 1224 of the family's 1533-position model. The record is from RNAcentral.